Long non-coding RNA from Labeo rohita (rohu), 467 nucleotides. RefSeq lists it as uncharacterized. The record is from RefSeq and is a predicted model, not a curated record. The transcript has 6 exons. Lineage: Eukaryota; Metazoa; Chordata; Actinopteri; Cypriniformes; Cyprinidae.
AAAUCACUUCUGUUGUGCUCUGUCCUUCUGUUGUAGUAGAUGGAGAGGUACCUGUUGUCAGCACUGUAGUUUCUGCAGUAGAAGUAGGGAUUUCUGUUGUUGUUGAAAUCACUUCUGUUGUGCUCUGUCCUUCUGUUGUAGUAGAUGGAGAGGUACCUGUUGUCAGCACUGUAGUUUCUGCAGUAGAAGUAGGUACUUCUGUUGUUGUUGAAAUCACUUCUGUUGUGCUCUGUCCUUCUGUUGUAGUAGAUGGAGAGGUACCUGUUGUCAGCACUGUAGUUUCUGCAGUAGAAGUAGGUACUUCUGUUGUUGUUGAAAUCACUUCUGUUGUGCUCUGUCCUUCUGUUGUAGUAGAUGGAGAGGUACCUGUUGUCAGCACUGUAGUUUCUGCAGUAGAAGUAGGUACUUCUGUUGUUGUUGAAAUCACUUCUGUUGUGCUCUGUCCUUCUGUUGUAGUAGAUGGAGAG